This 42-nucleotide ribosomal RNA is filed under the name Echinochasmus sp. GC-2016. Its description in RNAcentral is "partial 28S ribosomal RNA". The record is from RNAcentral. Lineage: Eukaryota; Metazoa; Platyhelminthes; Trematoda; Plagiorchiida; Echinochasmidae.
UCCUGACCUCGGAUCAGACGUGAAUACCCGCUGAACUUAAGC